AGCGAACGCUGGCGGCAGGCCUAACACAUGCAAGUCGAACGAACUCUUCGGAGUUAGUGGCGGACGGGUGAGUAACACGUGGGAACGUGCCUUUAGGUUCGGAAUAACUCAGGGAAACUUGUGCUAAUACCGAAUGUGCCCUUCGGGGGAAAGAUUUAUCGCCUUUAGAGCGGCCCGCGUCUGAUUAGCUAGUUGGUGAGGUAAAGGCUCACCAAGGCGACGAUCAGUAGCUGGUCUGAGAGGAUGAUCAGCCACAUUGGGACUGAGACACGGCCCAAACUCCUACGGGAGGCAGCAGUGGGGAAUCUUGCGCAGUGGGCGAAAGCUUGACGCAGCCAUGCCGCGUGAAUGAUGAAGGUCUUAGGAUUGUAAAAUUCUUUCACCGGGGACGAUAAUGACGGUACCCGGAGAAGAAGCCCCGGCUAACUUCGUGCCAGCCGCCGCAGUAA
RNAcentral lists this ribosomal RNA (449 nucleotides) under uncultured bacterium. RNAcentral's name for it is "partial 16S ribosomal RNA". It matches the Rfam family "Bacterial small subunit ribosomal RNA", at positions 29 to 523 of the family's 1533-position model. The record is from RNAcentral.